CGGGGACCAAUAGAUUAAGCUGUUCCUUCAUCUUGCUCCACCCGGUCUGGUUGGCUUUUACACGAUGUUCUUCUGGAAAUGCCCUCUUGCGUGUGUCAGCCACAGCACGCCAGCCUUACCUUCACAGUUAGAGCUUUCCCACUGGUGUUAAAGCUACAGGGUAAGGAAACCUGCAGACUGCUGCUCCGAGUUACAAAGAAAACUUCAUCAAGGAAAACUCUGUCUGCUUGGAGCAGAGCUUUGCACAGAAACCACCGAUGAGAUGAACCGUGGCACUAAGCUCAGAGCCCAGAAAAACAUACAUGCAGCCAAGCGACCACUCUGAGUGCUGAUGUCAUCCUGACCACUCACCACCCUUCUCAGCAUCGACGGCAGGAAUCUCAACUCCCCUAAUAGUGAGCAGCCACACCCAUGGGAAAGGGCAUGGGCUGACCUAGUCAGCAGCAACCAGAGCUGCACAAAACCAAGGGGAAAGCCGCCUGCUUCCAAGGGACAGUCACUGCUGUCUGAUCUUUCCUUUAAACGCAUAAACCGUGUAGGUUUUGAGUUCUCUUCUUGAAUACACAGAUGUCUUGCCAAGAGAACACAACACCACCUCAGAAAUAUUUUAUCGUCUUUCCUCACUGGAUGACAGCCUAUUGUUGGCCAUAAGAUGGUCACAAACAACAUGUUGUCAUCCACUACUGGUGUCCCUACAUGGAUCCUAACAGUCAAUGUGACUGAAUUAAGUAGAGCAUUUGGGAAGUGAACAAGCUUAGAACAAGAGUUCAUUACCUUAUAAAAGAAGCUGCAGCCAAUCCCCUUGUCCCUUCUGUCAAGGGGCAUAGCAACAAGAUGCCAUCCUCAAAUCAGACAGGAGCACAUCCCUACCAAAUACCGCAUCUACUUUGGUCCUGAACUUCUCAGCUUCUGAAUUACUAACAUUAAACUUCAGUUGUUUGUAAAUUA
Long non-coding RNA from Mesocricetus auratus (golden hamster), 948 nucleotides. RefSeq lists it as uncharacterized. The transcript has 2 exons. NCBI's taxonomy places the organism in Eukaryota, Metazoa, Chordata, Mammalia, Rodentia, Cricetidae. The record is from RefSeq and is a predicted model, not a curated record.